RNAcentral lists this transfer RNA (71 nucleotides) under Wolfiporia cocos MD-104 SS10. RNAcentral's name for it is "tRNA-Gly (GCC) (tRNA-Gly-GCC-2 1 to 5)". It matches the Rfam family "tRNA". From Rfam's summary of the family: Transfer RNA (tRNA) molecules are approximately 80 nucleotides in length. Their secondary structure includes four short double-helical elements and three loops (D, anti-codon, and T loops). The record is from RNAcentral. Lineage: Eukaryota; Fungi; Basidiomycota; Agaricomycetes; Polyporales; Phaeolaceae.
GCACUAAUGGGGUAGUGGUAACCUGGGUCGUUGCCAUCGACCCGCCGCGAGUUCGAUUCUCGCUUAGUGCA